CCCUUAGAUGUCCUGGGCCGCACGCGUGCUGCACUGAUGCAUACAGCGAGCACUUCCCGGCCCCGAAAGGCGGCUGGUAAUCAGCAAUAUGCAUCGUGAUGGGGAUAGUUCUUUGGAAUUCUUGAACUUGAACGAGGAAUGCCUAGUAGGCGCAAGUCAUUACCUUGCGUCGAUUAAGUCCCUGCCCUUUGUACACACCGCCCGUCGCUCCUACCGAUUCGAGUGGUCCGGUGAACCUUUCGGACUGAGAGUGGCCUCGAGUCGCUUUUAGAAAGUCAAGUAAACCACAUCACUUAGAGGAAGGAGAAGUCGUAACA
This 317-nucleotide ribosomal RNA is filed under the name uncultured eukaryote. RNAcentral describes it as "partial 18S ribosomal RNA". It matches the Rfam family "Eukaryotic small subunit ribosomal RNA", at positions 1470 to 1796 of the family's 1831-position model. The record is from RNAcentral.